RNAcentral lists this long non-coding RNA (3363 nucleotides) under Sus scrofa (pig). RNAcentral's name for it is "lncRNA (ENSSSCG00055020517.1)". Lineage: Eukaryota; Metazoa; Chordata; Mammalia; Artiodactyla; Suidae. The record is from RNAcentral.
CGCUGCAUGAAUGAGAGGCGCGGUGCCGCCCCUCCCCCACCGGGCCCGCCCCUCGCCGGGGCCGCUGCGCGCAGUCCGCCGCUGCCACCUCAGCCGCGCUAGGUCCCGGCAGACGCCAGCCGCUAGCCUCCAGACGCUGACGGUCCUGCCACGCUCGCCGCCGCCGCCGCCGCCGCCGACGCCGCGGGCACGACAGAGGAUUCUAAGCUCCUGUAGAAAUGCUGGAAAACUAUUACCUUUUCUGGUAAUUAAGAAUUCACCAAUAAAGUCUUGGAAUUAAUAUACUCAACUCAGAACUCUAAAGGAUAGGAGGUAAUUAUCAAGCCUGGUGGAAGACCAUCUUGCCACUUCUCCGAGAGUAACUUGAACAGUGUCUAGAGACUGUGAACCUUCCCAGGGGUUCAGGGUUUGAAUUAGAGUCACUCAGCAAUUUUUAUGCUACAGUUCAGAAAAAGCGGUCCACAUGUAGGAGAAAUUUAGCGCCUUCUAAUACUCUUUUGUAUACUUGAAUUUUAGUUAUUAAGUUACCCUAUCUGUAUAUAGAACAAAUUCAAGUCCUUUAAUUUAAAAACAAAUUAGUCUUUCAUGACUGCUCCAUUAAACAGAGUUGUACUGAUUUCUACCUGGUACCCUGUGCUUUUCCAUGGAAAUGUAACUGUUUGUUGAUUUCUCUGGAUUUCUCUGGACAAAUGUGUUAAGUACAACUGACCUAUUGAGACUGUCACAGCCAAUUCUUCCUUUUAUUUAAAGUGACUCUUUUUUCCACCUUUAGGACCACUGUAGCUCUUUAUUUCAAGAUGUUUUGUUGGUUAUCACAUAGACCUAGCAAUUUUCAAGGCAAGUUUUUACUAUUCAAUGCUGUUCUCAGAAAUGCUGUGACAUUUUCAGAAUCAAAUAGGCCUUGAUUAAUUUUAAUUUAAAAGGAAGUUCUUUGUCACAGAUUGGAGAAGAAUGAAGAGACAUAACUAAAUGUGAUGUGGGAUCUUCGAUUGGAUCCUAGAAAAGAAAAAAGGACAUUAGUGAAAAAACUGGUGAAACUUGAGUGAAAACUACCCCACAUGAUUAUAAGGAUUAAAUUAGAUUUAUGUAUGUGAAUGCUAGUCAUAGAUCUAAAACGCUAUGCAAACUGUUUGUCUUGAUUAAUACCCUAGAGAAUUGUUUGAAGAAAAAAAGAUAUACCAGUUUGGGGGAUUGUAUGUUAGGCUAACUCUCCUGAGGUGGUUUUUCCUAGAUUACUUGUACUGCACUGAGUGCAGUCAAAAUCCAUAAUUAUGAUAUUUUGAAUAUUUUAUCAGUAACCAUCAGUUUGAACUUGAACCAAUAUGACUAAGAAACUCAAAGCCGUAAAUUUAAUUUAUAAUCUAUUUAAUAUAGAGAUUUUACAUGCCUAUUGGUUUGUUUGUUUUAACCUAUUGAAGCCAAUGUCUAACCCUUUUGCCUUGGAAUUCAUGACCCUAGGAAGAGAAUUUCAAAUAUGAAAGCCCCAAGUUUGUUAGUUUUCCUGAAAUUUAUUUUAUUUUAUUUAUUUUUUUUUUUUUGGUCUUUUUUUUUUUGCUAUUUCUUGGGCCACUCCCACGGCAUAUGGAGGUUCCCAGGCUAGGGGUCGAAUCGGAGCUGUAGCCACCGGCCUACGCCAGAGCCACAGCAACGCAGGAUCCGAGCCGCGUCUGCAACCUACACCACAGCUCACGGCAACGCCGGAUCCUUAACCCAAGGGUAGGGACCGAACCCACAACCUCAUGGUUCCUAGUCGGAUUCGUUAACCACUGCGCCACGAUGGGAACUCCAGUUUUCCUGAAAUUUAAAGUGAAAACCAUCAGUGGGAUCUGUGGAGGUUUUUGGGUUUUUUGUUUGUUUGUUUGUUUGUUUUGUCUUUUUGCCUUUUCUAGGGCCGCUCCCUCAGCAUAUGGAGGUUCCCAGGCUAGGGGUCUAAUCGGAGAUGUUUCUGCAGGCCUACCCCAGGGCCAUAGCAAUGUGGGAUCCAAGCCGUGUCUGCAACCUACACCACAGCUCACGGCAACACCGGAUCCUUAACCCACUGAACAAGGCCAGGGAUUGAACCCGCAACCUCAUGGUUUCUAGUCAGAUUCGUUAACCACUGAGCCACGGUGGGAACUCCUGUGGAGUUAUUUUUAAGAGAGACCCUAGAGAGAUACUGUCUCCAAUCUACAAUUAUGUGAGACCUAUAAGCUUGUAGUUUAUUUCUAAAAGUAAAUUAUUCUAUAAGAAACUAAAAACAAGGAGCUCAGUGAAUAUAUUUAAGUAAUGCUGCCAACUGUCUGUGAUGAAUUUUUUUUUUAAUUUUACACCUGAGAGAUGUAAAAUUGAUUCUAAGUCCAUAUAUCAGAUGGUUAAAUGUUCUGAUUCAAUAUUUGGUGAAGGGCUGCUCUGUGACUUCAACUGUAUCUUAAUUAUUCUUUCUGCUAUGUCUAUUGUCUAUUGAUUUACUCAUUUCACUAAUGCAACCUCACGGAAAUCAAUCAAGUUCAUUUUCAAAAAUCCCAAUCUAAAGCCAAGACCAGGCUAAGGGUCGAAUUGGCAGCUGCUGCCGGCCUACGCCACAGCCACAGAAACCCAGGAUCUGAGCCGUGUCUGCGACCUACACCACAGCUCACAGCAAUGCCAGAUCCUUAACCCACUGAGCAAGGCCAGGGAUCGAACCUGUAUCCACAUGAGUAGUAGUAUGUCACAUAUAUUGCUCUAUACCUUGGUUUUUACUCACUUAGUAAUAUUAUAAUGGAAACUGCCAAAUCACCACAUCCAUAGACUGAAUCUAUAGCAUUUUUUUUUAACAAUUGCAAAAUUAAAUUAUGGCAAUAUACUAUAAUUUAACCAGUGGCAUAUUUGGAUUGCUUCCAAGCUUUUGCUAUUACAAGCAGGGCUACAAAGAAGCACCCGGGACAUGUGUGUCUUUGAAUACGUAUGUAAGCACAUUUGAAAGAUAAAUUCCUAAAUGUGGAAUUGCUGAGUCAGUGGGUAAGUCUCUGCAUAAUUUUGCUAAGUUGCUAUCUUGGAGACACAAUAUUACUGAUUGACGGUUUCACUGAUAGUGUGUUGUUGAGAGAGUUUUCUCCCACUAAUGGGUAGUAACAACUUUAUGACAUAUUAGAUUACUACUUGAAUUUGGGCUACUCUUCAGUUUUCUUGUGUCUGCCCAGAUAGGCUUGUAACAAGAAAUUUCUUUCCUUUUGGUGCAUGUCCAUCAAGGGUCAGCUAGGGGCUCUGCUCCACAUCUUCUUACUCAAAAACUCAGGCUAACAGGGCUGCGUCCGUCUUAAACAUUGCCAAUAGUCCUGGCUAAGAAAAAGAGGGCUCUGGAGAGCCUUGCACCAUCAAUAAAUACUGUCCAGCCUGAAAGUGACA